RNAcentral lists this ribosomal RNA (300 nucleotides) under Triticum aestivum (bread wheat). RNAcentral's name for it is "partial small subunit ribosomal RNA". The record is from RNAcentral. Lineage: Eukaryota; Viridiplantae; Streptophyta; Magnoliopsida; Poales; Poaceae.
AUGGCCUCCACUUGCUCCUUCGUCUUGGUGCUAGGCAUCAUGUGCUUCGGGCUGCUGGCCCUGCCGGCCUCAUCCGUUGGGGCCACUGCUGCAGGCGCCGCCGGUGCCACUACUGCCGGUGCCGCCGGUGCCUCCAUGCAGCUUCGAGAGGAUCUUCGCCUGAUGGAGAUCGCAGGCUGCUGCGACAUAUGUCAGGCAUGCCUUAUCGACACCUUCCAGGCGUGCUUUGAUUUCCGCCCCGCGAGGUUCGCUGCCUGCUUCAUCAAGUACAUAGUCAAAGAGAAGUGCAUCGGCAUGUAG